AGAGAGAGACAUGCGCGCAUAUCAAUAAGCGGAGGAAAAGAAACUAACUAGGAUUCCCUCAGUAACGGCGAGUGAAGCGGGAAGAGCUCAAAUUUGAAAUCUUCAAGGUUCUACCUUGACGAAUUGUAGUUUAAAGAAGUGUUUUCUGUUGAGGUUUUGGUAAAAGUUCUUAGGAAUAGGACAUCAUAGAGGGUGAGAAUCCCGUAUUUGACCUUUACUUUCAACUUUGUGAUACACUUUCAAAGAGUCGGAUUGUUUGGGAAUGCAGUCCAAAAUGGGUGGUAAAUUUCAUCUAAAGCUAAAUAUUGGCGAGAGACCGAUAGCGAACAAGUACCGUGAGGGAAAGAUGAAAAGAACUUUGAAAAGAGAGUUAAACAGUACGUGAAAUUGUCAAAAGGGAAGCGUUUGACACCAGUGUUGUUUUUCUGAAAAUCAAUUAAAGAACUGUUUAUGCUAAGCUGUUUAGACUUUAUCAGCUAUCUGUUUAGUUUUGAGCUUUUCUUUAAUGCACUUUUCAGUUAACAAGUCAACAUCAAUUUCUUUUGCUGUAAAAAAGCUUGAGGAAGGUGGCUUGAGAUUCGUCUUAAGUGUUUAUAGCCUCUUGCCUAUGCAGUCGGAGAGAUUGAGGUCUGCAGCGUAGAUCCUUCGGGGCUAAAUGCAUUUGUGCUAAGUUAUAGCAUUUUAUAGACAACUUGUUGACUAUGAUUAGUCUUGUAGCUUACUCGCUUAUGCUAUUUUACCUACGCUUAGGAUGUUGAUGUGAUACUGCGAGCA
RNAcentral lists this ribosomal RNA (774 nucleotides) under uncultured Neocallimastigales. RNAcentral describes it as "partial large subunit ribosomal RNA". It matches the Rfam family "Eukaryotic large subunit ribosomal RNA", at positions 23 to 646 of the family's 3401-position model. Lineage: Eukaryota; Fungi; Neocallimastigomycota; Neocallimastigomycetes; Neocallimastigales. The record is from RNAcentral.